Molecule: ribosomal RNA, 706 nt
Filed under: uncultured soil bacterium
Lineage: Bacteria
Description: bacterial SSU rRNA
Rfam family: Bacterial small subunit ribosomal RNA
Source: RNAcentral
AUGCAAGUCUAGGGGGCGUAGCAAUACGUCACCGGCGGACGGGUGCGUAACACGUGGGAAUGUACUUACUGGUUCGGAACAACUCAGGGAAACUUGAGCUAAUACCGAAUGAGCCCGAAAGGGGAAAGAUUUAUCGCCAGUAAAUCAGCCCGCGUCCGAUUAGCUAGUUGGUGGGGUAAAGGCCCACCAAGGCGACGAUCGGUAGCUGUUCUGAGAGGAAGAUCAGCCACACUGGGACUGAGACACGGCCCAGACUCCUACGGGAGGCAGCAGUUGGGAAUCUUGGACAAUGGGGGAAACCCUGAUCCAGCCAUGCCGCGUGAGUGAUGAAGGCCUUAGGGUUGUAAAACUCUUUCGACGGGGACGAUAAUGACGGUACCCGUAGAAGAAGCUCCGGCUAACUUCGUGCCAGCAGCCGCGGUAAUACGAAGGGGGCUAGCGUUGUUCGGAAUUACUGGGCGUAAAGCGCGCGCAGGCGGUCUUCCAAGUCAGUGGUGAAAGCCCGGAGCUCAACUCCGGAACUGCCAUUGAAACUGUGAGACUAGAGUACGAGAGAGGUGAGUGGAAUUCCCAGUGUAGAGGUGAAAUUCGUAGAUAUUGGGAAGAACACCGGUGGCGAAGGCGGCUCACUGGCUCGUUACUGACGCUCAGGCGCGACAGCGUGGGGAUCAAACAGGAUUAGAUACCCUGGUAGUCCACGCCGUAA